RNAcentral lists this ribosomal RNA (468 nucleotides) under uncultured bacterium. RNAcentral's name for it is "partial 16S ribosomal RNA". It matches the Rfam family "Bacterial small subunit ribosomal RNA", at positions 28 to 507 of the family's 1533-position model. The record is from RNAcentral.
GACGAACGCUGGCGGCGUGCUUAACACAUGCAAGUCGAACGGAAAGGCCCUGCUUUUGUGGGGUGCUCGAGUGGCGAACGGGUGAGUAACACGUGAGUAACCUGCCCUUGACUUUGGGAUAACUUCAGGAAACUGGGGCUAAUACUGGAUAGGAGCUCCCGCUGCAUGGUGGGGGUUGGAAAGUUUCGGCGGUUGGGGAUGGACUCGCGGCUUAUCAGCUUGUUGGUGGGGUAGUGGCUUACCAAGGCUUUGACGGGUAGCCGGCCUGAGAGGGUGACCGGCCACAUUGGGACUGAGAUACGGCCCAGACUCCUACGGGAGGCAGCAGUGGGGAAUAUUGCACAAUGGGCGGAAGCCUGAUGCAGCAACGCUGCGUGCGGGAUGACGGCCUUCGGGUUGUAAACCGCUUUCGCCUGUGACGAAGCGUGAGUGACGGUAAUGGGUAAAGAAGCACCGGCUAACUACGUG